This 445-nucleotide ribosomal RNA is filed under the name uncultured bacterium. Its description in RNAcentral is "bacterial SSU rRNA". It matches the Rfam family "Bacterial small subunit ribosomal RNA", at positions 338 to 795 of the family's 1533-position model. The record is from RNAcentral.
CCUACGGGAGGCAGCAGUAGGGAAUAUUGGGCAAUGGGCGCAAGCCUGACCCAGCGACGCCGCGUGAGGGAUGAAGGUCUUCGGAUUGUAAACCUCUUUCAGUAGGGAAGAAGCGAAAGUGACGGUACCUAAAGAAGAAGCACCGGCUAACUAUGUGCCAGCAGCCGCGGUAAUACAUAGGGUGCAAGCGUUGUCCGGAAUUAUUGGGCGUAAAGAGCUCGUAGGUCGUUAAUCACGUCGGAUGUGAAAAUCUGAGGCUCAACCUCAGACCUGCAUUCGAUACGGGUUAACUAGAGUGUGGUAGGGGAGACUGGAAUUCCUGGUGUAGCGGUGGAAUGCGCAGAUAUCAGGAGGAACACCUAUGGCGAAGGCAGGUCUCUGGGCCAUUACUGACACUGAGGAGCGAAAGUUCGGGGAGCGAACAGGAUUAGAUACCCCGGUAGUC